This 230-nucleotide long non-coding RNA is filed under the name Elaeis guineensis (African oil palm). Its description in RNAcentral is "long non-coding RNA (EGUI_LNC057144)". Lineage: Eukaryota; Viridiplantae; Streptophyta; Magnoliopsida; Arecales; Arecaceae. The record is from RNAcentral.
AUAUCCGAGGUAGACCGUCUGCUGUAGGAGUUCAGAGUAGACCGCUCGUAGUAGAAGUUCGGAGUAGACCGCUCAUAGUAGAAGUUCGGCUCUCGUAGGAGCUCGGUUGGAAUCUUGAAGGUGGUCGACCAUCGUAGAAACUUGGAUGGAGUCUGAUUACUAUAGAAAUCUCACCGUUGGAGAAGCUCGGAUAUUGAUGAAGUCCGAAAGAAGUUCGGAGUAGGGUCAUC